RNAcentral lists this microRNA precursor (74 nucleotides) under Stegodyphus mimosarum. RNAcentral describes it as "mir-87 microRNA precursor family". It matches the Rfam family "mir-87 microRNA precursor family". The record is from Rfam by way of RNAcentral. Lineage: Eukaryota; Metazoa; Arthropoda; Arachnida; Araneae; Eresidae.
CACCCUUCCACCUGAAACGUUGUCUCAACCUUUAUUGUAAGAAGAGGUGAGCAAAAUUUCAGGUGUGGGGGUGA